AACAAGCGAAUCGGUUACCACCCGAGAGUGGGACAUUUCAGCGGUACGCCGUGUUGGUCGUUCGAAUGUUUUAGUGAUAUCCUUUAGGGAAAUUGAGUGCGCAUCGCAUAGUGUGAUGGAGCAAAAUACAAACAGUUCAAUUUGAAAAUUUUGGAUUUAUUAUGUCUUAUGAUGCAUUUGAUGAAUUUAGCUGCCUCGAAGGUUGCGAUCAAUUUAACGCAGGAAUCGCUUGUUUGUGCGAAGUCCAGUUUUUCGGAACCACCUCUACCGGCGUUUGUAGCGAAGAAGACUUUUACACAUCCGCCGCUGGAACCGUUUUUCGUAGAGAUCAUUUGUCAGUGUCGGAAUCAGAUUCUGACAACAUGUCAAAUAUUAAAAUUUCUCAGAUUGAUAAUACUGUUAUGACACUCGGUGGUCGAAUAGCCAACGGACCGGCGGAUGCCACGCAUCUUAUAAUGACACGAGUAACAUUGGUUAGUGUUCGAUACUGCUUAUCUAGGAUAUGGAUUACUAAAAGUGUCGGGGCAUGGUUUUACCUAUGUGAAGGAUGUGGAUGAUACCUUUUAGUGUAAACCGUACAAUGUUCUCAAAUCAACCAACCGGAAUUUUUCUUCAAUUCUCUUCAGGAAAAACAGCAUGUUCAGCCAAGAAGAUCCGGAAAACGAAGCUAGAGAAACCCGGAAUACAUCGUGAUUAUAAGUUGUACGGAAUGUCAAAUCUUUAUACAACCAUUUAUUGAAAAAAAAUUGUAACAUGCAUACCUUGCUACUUCACUAAGCGUUUGUUUCGUAAUAUAUACAUUGAUGGCGGGCGAACGAAAGUAUUCUAAGUUAUUUACGUUCACUGAUCCUAUCAACAUAAAUGAAAUAAAAUGUUUAAAGCGAUAACACAGACUAACAGA
Malaya genurostris is the source of this 901-nucleotide RNA transcript. RefSeq lists it as uncharacterized. Lineage: Eukaryota; Metazoa; Arthropoda; Insecta; Diptera; Culicidae. The transcript has 4 exons. The record is from RefSeq and is a predicted model, not a curated record.